Molecule: long non-coding RNA, 1644 nt
Organism: Betta splendens (Siamese fighting fish)
Lineage: Eukaryota; Metazoa; Chordata; Actinopteri; Anabantiformes; Osphronemidae
Source: Ensembl
AUGUCACCAGACCAGCACCAACGCCACCUCUGGGCUCUCGAGGUGAUUUGGGCACCAACGACCCACGCCGGCCUGGUUCCUUUUAUGCUGCAGUCGAAGCUGCCGACGCGCCGAUGGUUCAGAACAAACGGACCCGUCCGACCUCCCUGUUCCUCCCCGUUCUUCCCUGUUCCUCCCCGUUCCUCCCUGUUCCUCCUCGUUCCUCCCUGUUCCUCCCCGUUCCUUCCUGUUCCUCCUCGUUCCUCCCUGUUCCUCCCCGUUCUUCCCCGUUCCUCCCUGUUCCUCCUCGUUCCUCCCUGUUCCUCCCUGUUCUUCCCCGUUCCUCCCUGUUCCUCCUCGUUCCUCCCUGUUUCUUCCUGUUCCUCCCCAUUCUUCCCUGUUCCUCCCUGUUCCUCCCCGUUCCUCCCUGUUCCUCCUCGUUCCUCCCUGUUCUUCCCUGUUCCUCCCUGUUCCUCCCCGUUCCUCCCUGUUCCUCCUCGUUCCUCCCUGUUCCUCCCUGUUCCUCCCCGUUCCUCCCUGUUCCUCCUCGUUCCUCCCUGUUCCUCCCUGUUCCUCCCCGUUCCUCCCUGUUCCUCCUCGUUCCUCCCUGUUCUUCCCUGUUCCUCCCCGUUCCUCCCCGUUCCUCCCUGUUCCUCCUCGUUCCUCCCUGUUCCUCCCCGUUCCUCCCUGUUCCUCCUCGUUCCUCCCUGUUCUUCCCUGUUCCUCCCCGUUCCUCCCCGUUCCUCCCUGUUCCUCCUCGUUCCUCCCUGUUCCUUCCCUGUUCCUCCCUGUUCCUCCCCGUUCCUCCCUGUUCCUCCCCGUUCUUCCCUGUUCCUCCCCGUUCCUCCCUGUUCCUCCUCGUUCCUCCCUGUUCCUCCCCGUUCUUCCCUGUUCAUCCCUGUUCCUUCCUGUUUUUCCCCAUUCUUCCCUGUUCUUUCCCCGUUCUUCCCUGUUCCUUCGUGUUCCUCCCCUUCUUCCCCAUUCUUCCCUGUUCCUCUCUGUUCCUUCCUGUUCCUCUCCGUUCCUUCCUUUUCAUCUCCUUUCUUCCAUGUUCCUCCCUGUUCUUCCCUGUUCCUCCCCGUUUCUCCCUGUUCCUCUCCGUUCUUCCCUGUUCCUUCCUGUUUUUCCCCAUUCUUCCCUGUUCCUUCCUGUUUUUCCCCAUUCUUCCCUGUUCCUCCCAGUUUUUCCUUGUUCCUCUCCGUUCUUCCCUGUUCCUCCCUGUUCUUUCUCGUUCUUACCCGUUCUUCUCGUUCUUCCCGUUCUUCCUCGUUCUUUCUCGUUCUUACCCGUUCUUCUCGUUCUUCCCGUUCUUCCUCGUUCUUCCUCGUUCUUACCCGUUCCGCCCCAUUCUUCCCUGUUCUUUCCCCGUUCUUCCCUGUUCCUUCGUGUUCCUCCCCUUCUUCCCCAUUCUUCCCUGUUCCUCUCUGUUCCUUCCUGUUCCUCUCCGUUCCUUCCUUUUCAUCUCCUUUCUUCCAUGUUCCUCCCUGUUCUUCCCUGUUCCUCCCCGUUUUUCCCUGUUCCUCUCCGUUCUUCCCUGUUCCUCCCUGUUCUUCCUCGUUCUUCCCGUUCUUCCCGUCUAAUCUCGCUGCCUUGGUGAGUUCUAUGCCGUUCUCCCGGGUCUCAGCGGCGCCGGAGCGCCUGCGUUUCCUACAGGGCGACAAAUGA